Molecule: long non-coding RNA, 1086 nt
Filed under: Xyrichtys novacula (pearly razorfish)
Lineage: Eukaryota; Metazoa; Chordata; Actinopteri; Labriformes; Labridae
Source: RNAcentral
GGCACCACAUUUGCUCAGGCCAAUCUACACCCCAUGGCCAUUAAAAGUUAUUCAAAUCAUGACGCUGCACCCCACGGUUUAGGUUCUAGGGGGCGCCAAAGAUAACCCUAAGAUCCACAUAUUUAAAAGUCUUAUAACUUUUUAUUUUUGCCCUCACUGGCCUCCAAGUUUUCUAGGAUGAUGCAAUGUCCAGCCAUCAACACAUUUGUGAAGGAAUUUUUACUCCCCAAAAGAGCGCCCCCCCAUGGCCGGAGAAAAAAGUCCAUUUUUUCUUGUCCCCUAAGGUGAAAAUACACAUUGUUGAGUGUAACACCUGUACGCUUUGGCAAAAUGACACAAAAAUUGACACACACAUGUAUCUCAAUAAGAUCUACGAAAAAGUCAAUGCGCGCGUAUCUGUCAAAUGUACGGUUAAAGGGUUAUUCCGCAUUUUUUGCCGAUCCGCACACAUUGGAAUUUCGCUAACUCCUCCGAAGGCUUUCGUUCCACCGGCACCACAUUUGCUCAGGCCAAUCUACACCCCAUGGCCAUUAAAAGUUAUUCAAAUCAUGAUGCUGCACCCCACGGUUUAGGUUCUAGGGGGCGCCAAAGAUAACCGUAAAAUCCACAUAUUUAAAAGUCUUAUAACUUUUUAUUUUUGUCCCCACUGGCCUCCAAGUUUUCUAGGAUGAUGCAAUGUCCAGCCAUCAACACAUUUGUGAAGGAAUUUUUACUCGCCAAAAGAGCGCCCCCCCAUGGCAGGAGAAAAAAGUCAAUUUUUUCUUGUCCACUAAGGUGAAAAUACACAUUGUUGAGUGCUACGCCUGUAUGUUUUGUCGUAUUGACACAAAAUUUUACAUACACGUGUAUUUCAAUAAGAUCUUCGAAAAAGUCAAUGGCCACGUAUCUGUAAAAUGUACGGUUAAAGGGUUAUUUCGCAUUUUUUGCAGAUUCGCACACAUUGGAAUUUCGCUAAUUCCUCCGAAGGCUUUCGUUCCACCGGCACCACAUUUGCUCAGGCCAAUCUACACCCCAUGGCCAUUAAAAGUUAUUCAAAUCAUGACGCUGCACCCCACGGUUUAGGUUCUAGGGGGCGCCAAAUAUAAC